CUGGCUCAGGAUGAACGCGUGGCGGCAGGCUUAAUACAUGCAAGUCGAACGGUAAGGUCCGAAGUGGCAACACGGAGGAUACACGAGUGGCGCACGGGUGCGUAACGCGUAUGCAACCUGCCCCCGACCGGGACAAAACAGCUGGAAACGGCUGCUAAUAUCCCAUGGUCAUGCGGAAGGGCAUCCUUCUUCAUGUAAAGAUUCAUUGGUCGGGGAUGGGCAUGCGUAUUAUUAGGUAGUUGGCGGGGUAACGGCCCACCAAGCCGACGAUGAUUAGGGGUCCUGAGAGGGUUAACCCCCCACACUGGAACUGAGACACGGUCCAGACUCCUACGGGAGGCAGCAGUAGGGAAUAUUGGGCAAUGGGAGCAAUCCUGACCCAGCCAUGCCGCGUGAAGGAAGACGGCCUAUGGGUUGUAAACUUCUUUUGCCGCAGAGUAAACCCGGUCACGAGUGGUCGGCUGAGAGUAUGCGGCGAAUAAGUAUCGGCUAACUCCGUGCCAGCCGCGGC
RNAcentral lists this ribosomal RNA (511 nucleotides) under uncultured bacterium. Its description in RNAcentral is "bacterial SSU rRNA". It matches the Rfam family "Bacterial small subunit ribosomal RNA", at positions 19 to 518 of the family's 1533-position model. The record is from RNAcentral.